GACGAACGCUGGCGGCGUGCUUAACACAUGCAAGUCGAGCGGUAAGGCCCUUUCGGGGGUACACGAGCGGCGAACGGGUGAGUAACACGUGGGUGACCUGCCCUCAGCUCUGGGAUAAGCCUGGGAAACUGGGUCUAAUACUGGAUAUGACUCCACGGUGCAUGUCGUGGGGUGGAAAGCCUUGUGCGGCUGAGGAUGGGCCCGCGGCCUAUCAGCUUGUUGGUGGGGUGANGGCCUACCAAGGCGACGACGGGUAGCCGGCCUGAGAGGGCGACCGGCCACACUGGGACUGAGACACGGCCCAGACUCCUACGGGAGGCAGCAGUGGGGAAUAUUGGACAAUGGGCGAAAGCCUGAUCCAGCGACGCCGCGUGGGUGAAGAAGGCCUGCGGGUUGUAAAGCCCUUUCAGUGGGGAAGAAAAGCCUCGACCUAACACGUCGGGGUCUUGACGUAACCCAUAGAAGAAGCACCGGCUAACUCUGUGCCAGCAGCCGCCGCU
Molecule: ribosomal RNA, 500 nt
Filed under: uncultured bacterium
Lineage: Bacteria
Description: bacterial SSU rRNA
Rfam family: Bacterial small subunit ribosomal RNA
Source: RNAcentral